This 555-nucleotide ribosomal RNA is filed under the name Hemipyrellia ligurriens. RNAcentral's name for it is "partial 16S ribosomal RNA". It matches the Rfam family "Bacterial large subunit ribosomal RNA", at positions 1796 to 2620 of the family's 2925-position model. The record is from RNAcentral. Lineage: Eukaryota; Metazoa; Arthropoda; Insecta; Diptera; Calliphoridae.
UCGCCUGUUUAACAAAAACAUGUCUUUUUGAAAUUUUUUUAAAGUCUAGCCUGCCCACUGAAUAAUUUUAAAUGGCCGCAGUAUACUAACUGUGCAAAGGUAGCAUAAUCAUUAGUCUUUUAAUUGAAGGCUGGUAUGAAUGGUUGGACGAGAUAUUAACUGUUUCAUAAAAAUUUAUAAUAGAAUUUUAUUUUUUAGUCAAAAAGCUAAAAUAAAAUUAAAAGACGAGAAGACCCUAUAAAUCUUUAUAUAUAGAUUAUUAGAAUUUUGUAGAUUAUUUUUGUUAUAAUAAUUAAUUAUAUUUUAUUGGGGUGAUAUUAAAAUUUAAUAAACUUUUAAUUUUUGAAAUCAUUAAUUUAUGAAUAGUUGAUCCGUUAAUAACGAUUAAAAAAAUAAGUUACUUUAGGGAUAACAGCGUAAUUUUUUUGGAGAGUUCAUAUCGAUAAAAAAGAUUGCGACCUCGAUGUUGGAUUAAGAUAUAAUUUUAGGUGUAGCCGCUUAAAUUUUAAGUCUGUUCGACUUUUAAAUUCUUACGUGAUCUGAGUUCAGACCGGA